RNAcentral lists this ribosomal RNA (849 nucleotides) under Chloridium sp. 3 JEH-2019. RNAcentral's name for it is "partial large subunit ribosomal RNA". It matches the Rfam family "Eukaryotic large subunit ribosomal RNA", at positions 76 to 956 of the family's 3401-position model. Lineage: Eukaryota; Fungi; Ascomycota; Sordariomycetes; Chaetosphaeriales; Chaetosphaeriaceae. The record is from RNAcentral.
UGCCCCAGUAACGGCGAGUGAAGCGGCAACAGCUCAAAUUUGAAAUCUGGCCCCCAGGGUCCGAGUUGUAAUUUGCAGAGGAUGCUUCGGGCGCGGUGCCUUCCAAGUCCCCUGGAACGGGGCGCCGGAGAGGGUGAGAGCCCCGUACGGUUGGCGGCCAAGCCUAUGUGAAGCUCCUUCGACGAGUCGAGUAGUUUGGGAAUGCUGCUCUAAGCGGGAGGUAGACCCCUUCUAAAGCUAAAUAUUGGCCAGAGACCGAUAGCGCACAAGUAGAGUGAUCGAAAGAUGAAAAGCACUUUGAAAAGAGGGUUAAAUAGCACGUGAAAUUGUUGAAAGGGAAGCGCUUGCGACCAGACGUGCGCCGGGGUGCUCAGCGGGCGUUCUCGCCCGUGCACUCGCCCCGGUGCAGGCCAGCGUCGGUUUGAGCGGGGGGAUAAAGGCGCCUGGAACGUGGCUCCCUCGGGAGUGUUAUAGCCAGGCGUGCCAUGCCCCCGCCCGGACCGAGGUACGCGUUCUGCAAGGACGCUGGCGUAAUGGUCCCCAGCGACCCGUCUUGAAACACGGACCAAGGAGUCGAGGUUUUGCGCGAGUGUUUGGGUGUCAAACCCGCACGCGUAAUGAAAGUGAACGUAGGUGGGAGCUUCGGCGCACCACCGACCGAUCCUGAUGUUUUCGGAUGGAUUUGAGUAAGAGCGUAGGGCCUCGGACCCGAAAGAUGGUGAACUAUGCUUGGAUAGGGUGAAGCCAGAGGAAACUCUGGUGGAGGCUCGCAGCGGUUCUGACGUGCAAAUCGAUCGUCAAAUCUGAGCAUGGGGGCGAAAGACUAAUCGAACCAUCUAGUAGCUGGUU